Non-coding RNA from Nematostella vectensis (starlet sea anemone), 83 nucleotides. The record is from Rfam. NCBI's taxonomy places the organism in Eukaryota, Metazoa, Cnidaria, Anthozoa, Actiniaria, Edwardsiidae.
ACCAGGAUGGCCGAGUGGUUAAGGCGUUGGACUUAAGUUCAAAUGUACGGAUGUACGCGUGGGUUCGAACCCCACUCCUGGUA